This 221-nucleotide long non-coding RNA is filed under the name Elaeis guineensis (African oil palm). Its description in RNAcentral is "long non-coding RNA (EGUI_LNC018704)". The record is from RNAcentral. Lineage: Eukaryota; Viridiplantae; Streptophyta; Magnoliopsida; Arecales; Arecaceae.
GAACAGAUUAUUCCUACGAGUUCUAUUUGAUAAUAUAGAGCUAUAGAUACUUCUGACCCAUCAAUUAAAUGGUUACAUUGAAUUCUUAUCCCCUAAAUUUUAUUUUCAAAUUACUAAUAAAUUUUGAUACGAAAGCAUAUACAUCGAUACGGAGGUAUAUAUUUCAAUAUACUACUUCAAUUCUUGAAUAAAUUAUUUUAAUAAAUUCUAUUUAAUGAUAC